Molecule: ribosomal RNA, 1530 nt
Filed under: Klebsiella pneumoniae
Lineage: Bacteria; Pseudomonadati; Pseudomonadota; Gammaproteobacteria; Enterobacterales; Enterobacteriaceae
Description: bacterial SSU rRNA
Rfam family: Bacterial small subunit ribosomal RNA
Source: RNAcentral
AGAGUUUGAUCAUGGCUCAGAUUGAACGCUGGCGGCAGGCCUAACACAUGCAAGUCGAGCGGUAGCACAGAGAGCUUGCUCUCGGGUGACGAGCGGCGGACGGGUGAGUAAUGUCUGGGAAACUGCCUGAUGGAGGGGGAUAACUACUGGAAACGGUAGCUAAUACCGCAUAAUGUCGCAAGACCAAAGUGGGGGACCUUCGGGCCUCAUGCCAUCAGAUGUGCCCAGAUGGGAUUAGCUAGUAGGUGGGGUAACGGCUCACCUAGGCGACGAUCCCUAGCUGGUCUGAGAGGAUGACCAGCCACACUGGAACUGAGACACGGUCCAGACUCCUACGGGAGGCAGCAGUGGGGAAUAUUGCACAAUGGGCGCAAGCCUGAUGCAGCCAUGCCGCGUGUGUGAAGAAGGCCUUCGGGUUGUAAAGCACUUUCAGCGGGGAGGAAGGCGGUGAGGUUAAUAACCUCAUCGAUUGACGUUACCCGCAGAAGAAGCACCGGCUAACUCCGUGCCAGCAGCCGCGGUAAUACGGAGGGUGCAAGCGUUAAUCGGAAUUACUGGGCGUAAAGCGCACGCAGGCGGUCUGUCAAGUCGGAUGUGAAAUCCCCGGGCUCAACCUGGGAACUGCAUUCGAAACUGGCAGGCUAGAGUCUUGUAGAGGGGGGUAGAAUUCCAGGUGUAGCGGUGAAAUGCGUAGAGAUCUGGAGGAAUACCGGUGGCGAAGGCGGCCCCCUGGACAAAGACUGACGCUCAGGUGCGAAAGCGUGGGGAGCAAACAGGAUUAGAUACCCUGGUAGUCCACGCCGUAAACGAUGUCGAUUUGGAGGUUGUGCCCUUGAGGCGUGGCUUCCGGAGCUAACGCGUUAAAUCGACCGCCUGGGGAGUACGGCCGCAAGGUUAAAACUCAAAUGAAUUGACGGGGGCCCGCACAAGCGGUGGAGCAUGUGGUUUAAUUCGAUGCAACGCGAAGAACCUUACCUGGUCUUGACAUCCACAGAACUUUCCCAGAGAUGGAUUGGUGCCUUCGGGAACUGUGAGACAGGUGCUGCAUGGCUGUCGUCAGCUCGUGUUGUGAAAUGUUGGGUUAAGUCCCGCAACGAGCGCAACCCUUAUCCUUUGUUGCCAGCGGUUAGGCCGGGAACUCAAAGGAGACUGCCAGUGAUAAACUGGAGGAAGGUGGGGAUGACGUCAAGUCAUCAUGGCCCUUACGACCAGGGCUACACACGUGCUACAAUGGCAUAUACAAAGAGAAGCGACCUCGCGAGAGCAAGCGGACCUCAUAAAGUAUGUCGUAGUCCGGAUUGGAGUCUGCAACUCGACUCCAUGAAGUCGGAAUCGCUAGUAAUCGUAGAUCAGAAUGCUACGGUGAAUACGUUCCCGGGCCUUGUACACACCGCCCGUCACACCAUGGGAGUGGGUUGCAAAAGAAGUAGGUAGCUUAACCUUCGGGAGGGCGCUUACCACUUUGUGAUUCAUGACUGGGGUGAAGUCGUAAACAAGGUAACCGUAGGGGAACCUGCGGUUGGAUCACCU